Carlito syrichta (Philippine tarsier) is the source of this 775-nucleotide long non-coding RNA. RefSeq lists it as uncharacterized. The record is from RefSeq and is a predicted model, not a curated record. NCBI's taxonomy places the organism in Eukaryota, Metazoa, Chordata, Mammalia, Primates, Tarsiidae. The transcript has 2 exons.
GCCCGGGGGUGGGCGCGGCGGAGCAGACCCCGCGCAAGAGGCUGCGGUGAGCUAGUUUAGAGCCCAAAGAGCCCCGAGGGAGCCUGUCGGGGCAGCGGACACGUUGAGGGGCGCUGGGCCUCGGCUGGGACCGUUCAUGUAGCAGCGACCGGCGGCGGCUGCCGGAGAGCAGCGUUCGGUUUUGUGUUUAAAGUUUGAAAACUGUGCAAUGUAUGAGUAACGUCUUUUUAUCUCUAAAUGUAUCCCAGCACGAGGAGUACACUGGUCCCAAGGUGUAAAGCUUUAAGAGUCAUUUAUAUAGAAUGUUUAAUCUCUGCUGAAACUCAGUGCAAAAAGAAAAAGCAGCAAAAAAAGAAAAAAAAAGGAAAAAAGGAAAAAAAGAAAAAAAAAGGAAAAAAUAAAAAAAACCAUGUAUAUUUGUACAAAAAGUUUUAAAGUUAUACUAACUUAUAUUUCUAUUUAUGUCCUGGCGUGGGCCGCUCCACCACAGAGAACUUGGUCAUUGGCUAUGCCAAAGUGUGCCCACCAUCAGCACCCGGUCAUCCACAGCUGUAAAUCUCCCACUCGCGGAAUCUGGGGAAGGGGUCACUCACGCUGUAGCUGCGUACAUGCCCAAAUCGCUUGCUGUCUCUUUGCGCUUUCGCUGUCUCUUCUAUUAUUACUGUGUUUAUUUUAAACUUGAAGACAAAUCUGUAAAAAAUGGUUCCUGAGCCGUCUGUACCACUGCCCCGGCCCCUCGUCCGCCGGGUCCUAAAUAAAGAGGCCGAAAUAAUGC